This 253-nucleotide ribosomal RNA is filed under the name uncultured bacterium. RNAcentral's name for it is "partial 16S ribosomal RNA". It matches the Rfam family "Bacterial small subunit ribosomal RNA", at positions 524 to 776 of the family's 1533-position model. The record is from RNAcentral.
GACGAACCGUGCGAACGUUGUUCGGAAUCACUGGGCUUAAAGGGCGCGUAGGCGGCUUGCCAAGUCGGGGGUGAAAUACUUCAGCUUAACUGGAGAAGUGCCUUCGAAACUGGCAGGCUUGAGGGAGGUAGGGGUCUGUGGAACUUCUGGUGGAGCGGUGAAAUGCGUUGAUAUCAGAAGGAACGCCGGUGGCGAAAGCGACGGACUGGACCUCUUCUGACGCUGAGGCGCGAAAGCUAGGGGAGCAAACGGG